CGAUAGCUCAUUUGGUAGAGCUUGAAACUCUGAAUUUCAGGGUCAUGGGUAUGAAUGAGUCCCAUGUUGAGGA
Podarcis lilfordi (Lilford's wall lizard) is the source of this 73-nucleotide non-coding RNA. NCBI's taxonomy places the organism in Eukaryota, Metazoa, Chordata, Lepidosauria, Squamata, Lacertidae. The record is from the annotation of a GenBank genome assembly.